This 90-nucleotide ribosomal RNA is filed under the name uncultured eukaryote. RNAcentral describes it as "partial small subunit ribosomal RNA". The record is from RNAcentral.
ACCCGCAAGGGAGGUAGCUGUUUACGGUGUGAUCGGUGAUUGGGGUGAAGUCGUAACAAGGUAGCUGUAGGUGAACCUGCAGAAGGAUCA